RNAcentral lists this ribosomal RNA (462 nucleotides) under uncultured bacterium. RNAcentral's name for it is "partial 16S ribosomal RNA". It matches the Rfam family "Bacterial small subunit ribosomal RNA", at positions 29 to 506 of the family's 1533-position model. The record is from RNAcentral.
ACGAACGCUGGCGGCGUGCUUAACACAUGCAAGUCGAACGGUAAGGCCCUUUCGGGGGUACACGAGUGGCGAACGGGUGAGUAACACGUGGGUGAUCUGCCCUGCACUUUGGGAUAAGCCUGGGAAACUGGGUCUAAUACCGGAUAGGACUACGCGAUGCAUGUCGUGUGGUGGAAAGCUUUUGCGGUGUGGGAUGGGCCCGCGGCCUAUCAGCUUGUUGGUGGGGUGAUGGCCUACCAAGGCGACGACGGGUAGCCGGCCUGAGAGGGUGUCCGGCCACACUGGGACUGAGAUACGGCCCAGACUCCUACGGGAGGCAGCAGUGGGGAAUAUUGCACAAUGGGCGCAAGCCUGAUGCAGCGACGCCGCGUGGGGGAUGACGGCCUUCGGGUUGUAAACCCCUUUCAGCACAGACGAAGCGUAAGUGACGGUAUGUGCAGAAGAAGCACCGGCCAACUACGU